GACGAACGCUGGCGGCGUGCUUAACACAUGCAAGUCGAACGGAAAGGCCCUGCUUUUGUGGGGUGCUCGAGUGGCGAACGGGUGAGUAACACGUGAGUAACCUGCCCUUGACUUUGGGAUAACUUCAGGAAACUGAGGCUAAUACCGGAUAGGAGCUCCUGCUGCAUGGUGGGGGUUGGAAAGUUUCGGCGGUUGGGGAUGGACUCGCGGCUUAUCAGCUUGUUGGUGGGGUAGUGGCUUACCAAGGCUUUGACGGGUAGCCGGCCUGAGAGGGUGACCGGCCACAUUGGGACUGAGAUACGGCCCAGACUCCUACGGGAGGCAGCAGUGGGGAAUAUUGCACAAUGGGCGGAAGCCUGAUGCAGCAACGCCGCGUGCGGGAUGACGGCCUUCGGGUUGUAAACCGCUUUCGCCUGUGACGAAGCGUGAGUGACGGUAAUGGGUAAAGAAGCACCGGCUAACUACGU
This 467-nucleotide ribosomal RNA is filed under the name uncultured bacterium. RNAcentral describes it as "partial 16S ribosomal RNA". It matches the Rfam family "Bacterial small subunit ribosomal RNA", at positions 28 to 506 of the family's 1533-position model. The record is from RNAcentral.